This 849-nucleotide ribosomal RNA is filed under the name Triticum aestivum (bread wheat). Its description in RNAcentral is "partial small subunit ribosomal RNA". Lineage: Eukaryota; Viridiplantae; Streptophyta; Magnoliopsida; Poales; Poaceae. The record is from RNAcentral.
GGGGUGGAGAAUGGUAAGAGAAAGAUGGCAUAGCUGAGUUGGGAGAAGAUGGUGGUACCCAAGUCUAUGAAGGGCAUGGGUUUCCGCGACAUGAGAGCCUUCAACCAGGCUUUGCUGGCUAAGCAAGCAUGGCAAUUAUUGGACUGUCCGGAUAGCCUGUGUGCGAGACUUCUUAGAGCUAAAUACUAUCCCCAUGGUAAUCUGUUGGAUACAGGGUUCCCUGCAAGCUCGUCUGCGGUGUGGAAAGGGAUUGUACAUGCUCUUGAAUUGGUGAAGAAAGGCAUUAUUUGGCGUGUGGGAGAUGGUAUGUUAAUUAGACCUUGGAGAGAUUCUUGGAUCCCGAGGGGUCAUAAUCUUCGUCCAAUAACACCAAAACAUAACUGCAGACUUAAUUGGGUGCCUGAUUUCUUGGAUGAACAUGGUGCAUGGAAUGAGCAAAGGUUGCGAGAACAUUUUUGGGACAUGGAUGUACGUGAGAUUCUCAAGAUCUAUACGUCGCCGAGGAAUGGCCAAGACUUCCUAGCCUGGUUCCCGGAGAGGAGCGGACAAUUUACUGUGCGGAGUGCAUAUAUGCUGGCUACUUUGGGCGCCGCCCCUGGUAUGAUAAACGCGUCCAACAACAAUCCAUCUGGGGAGCGGCCGGUUUGGCAAUGCUUAUGGGGUGCUAAAGUACCCCUUAAGAUGAGGAUCUUGUCCUGGAAGGUGGUCUCAGGUGCACUAGGCACUAAUGCGUGCAAAAAAUGCCGUCAUAUUUCUACAAGGGAUACAUGUCCUUUAUGUAUGAAGGAGAAGGAAACCAGCUUCCACGCCCUAGUCACAUGUGAUCAUGCGCGCGAAGUGUGGCGAUAG